RNAcentral lists this transfer RNA (85 nucleotides) under Bacillota bacterium. RNAcentral's name for it is "tRNA-Leu". It matches the Rfam family "tRNA". From Rfam's summary of the family: Transfer RNA (tRNA) molecules are approximately 80 nucleotides in length. Their secondary structure includes four short double-helical elements and three loops (D, anti-codon, and T loops). Further hydrogen bonds mediate the characteristic L-shaped molecular structure. tRNAs have two regions of fundamental functional importance: the anti-codon, which is responsible for specific mRNA codon recognition, and the 3' end, to which the tRNAs corresponding amino acid is attached (by aminoacyl-tRNA synthetases). tRNAs cope with the degeneracy of the genetic code in two manners: having more than one tRNA (with a specific anti-codon) for a particular amino acid; and 'wobble' base-pairing, i.e. permitting non-standard base-pairing at the 3rd anti-codon position. The record is from RNAcentral. RNAcentral also lists the same sequence under 1 other name. Lineage: Bacteria; Bacillati; Bacillota.
GCGGGUAUGGCGGAAUUGGCAGACGCGCUGGAUUUAGGUUCCAGUGAAGCGAUUCGUGUGGGUUCAAGUCCCACUACCCGUACCA